Molecule: non-coding RNA, 430 nt
Organism: Pelobates cultripes (western spadefoot toad)
Lineage: Eukaryota; Metazoa; Chordata; Amphibia; Anura; Pelobatidae
Source: the annotation of a GenBank genome assembly
CUUCAUGGGAAUAGGGUGGACAUAAAGGAACACUCCAACCAAACACCAUAACCAUUACAGUGUGCUAUAGUGGUUAUGAUUCCAGGGAUAUCUUGGCUCUUCAACAAUGUAAGUAGUCAAAACAUUUGCUAAUGGUUUCACAACUUAGCUGGUUUCUGCCUGAAGCUCUCUGCCCUAGUCUAGUGGUAAAGGGCUUAGCUCAUUGGCUGAGAGUAAUAAGCUGACACUCUCAGCAAAUGAUACAGCGCUCUCUUGUACUUGGCACGUCUACUUUCAUUGAGUAGAGAAAGUGUAACUUGCAGGAAAAAGAGAAGAAGGGAAACCCAUUUCCGAGGCUUCAAUACGAGUACCCCUGGGGCAGCACUACAGCUACAGAUCAGCCAUCACCACAAAAAAACCUACUGGGUCAAUUGCUAUCCUUAAAUGCAGC